This 266-nucleotide ribosomal RNA is filed under the name uncultured bacterium. RNAcentral describes it as "partial 16S ribosomal RNA". It matches the Rfam family "Bacterial small subunit ribosomal RNA", at positions 793 to 1055 of the family's 1533-position model. The record is from RNAcentral.
GUCCUAGCCCUAAACGAUGGAUGCUUGGUGUAGCGGGUACCCAAUCCCACUGUGCCGGAGCUAACGCGUUAAGCAUCCCGCCUGGGGAGUACGGUCGCAAGGCUGAAACUCAAAAGGAAUUGACGGGGGCCCGCACAAGCGGUGGAGCAUGUGGUUCAAUUCGACGCAACGCGAAAGAACCUUACCUGGGCUCGAAGCGCAGUGGAUGGGAGUGGAAAACAUUCCUUCCCGCAAGGGCCGCUGCGUAGGUGCUGCAUGGCUGUCGU